This 418-nucleotide ribosomal RNA is filed under the name Isognomon bicolor. RNAcentral describes it as "partial large subunit ribosomal RNA". It matches the Rfam family "Bacterial large subunit ribosomal RNA", at positions 1943 to 2599 of the family's 2925-position model. Lineage: Eukaryota; Metazoa; Mollusca; Bivalvia; Pterioida; Isognomonidae. The record is from RNAcentral.
GACAAGCCUUAAAGUAGCUUAAUACCUUGCCUUUUAAUUGGAGAGCGCGCAUGAAGUGUAGACGAGGGAGCGACUGUCUCUAGUUUGAUAUCGUGAAAUUGAACUCCAAGUGAAAUUGCUUGGGUGGUUCUAAAAGACGAGAAGACCCCAUGCAGCUUUACAUACCUUAUAAAUAAUUAUAACAAUUGUUUAGUUGGGGCAACGGGGGAAUAAGAAAAACUUCCUUGGAGCAAUUUUUGACUGGUAGGUAAUGAUCCAGAGUGUGGCCGAUCGAAAGGUGAGCUACGCUGGGGAUAACAGCGUGCUUCUGAAAUUGAGGUCUCAUUGGUUUCAGAGUCGGCGACCUCGAUGUUGAAUCAGGGAAACGCUCAGGUGCAGCCGCUUGAGUCGGGGGUCUGUUCGACCUUUAAACCCCUAC